GUAUAGAUAAACCUUAAUAAAUAUUAAAAAAAGGAAAUAACUUUUACCUUCAUGUCCAACACAGUAGUCACGUUUUCUUUUACGCGCAUGACAUUACUGUUUCUACAUUUCUGCAAUGGUAGUUUACAGCAACAAUGUUUUACACCAGGCAAUGUGGUUAUUUAUUGUUUUUUUGACAAACGGAACGGAUUGCAGUUUUUGUAAAUUCCACGUUUGCCUUACAUGGACAGUUAAUGACCAAUUACUCAAUUUAAAGUGCAGAGUCAAUAGGUUACUUUUUCGGGUUGAAUUUAAAGACCCGUUUAAUAAACUUGUUGGAGAAUGUAUUCCCGGCCGAGAGUGUGAUAGUUACAUUACUAAUGUGGCUAUUGCACAAAACAUUACAACAAAUGAGACUACUUGUUUGAUAACUGGAACAAUAGACGAAAAUCUCAAUGGCAAAUGGAAAUGUCUGCAUGGUACAAAUACAGGUUUAGCUGAUGUUGAAGUCACAGUUCUGCGAA
Molecule: long non-coding RNA, 503 nt
Organism: Mytilus californianus (California mussel)
Lineage: Eukaryota; Metazoa; Mollusca; Bivalvia; Mytilida; Mytilidae
Exons: 3
Source: RefSeq, a predicted model, not a curated record